This 1267-nucleotide unclassified non-coding RNA is filed under the name Hevea brasiliensis (rubber tree). The record is from RNAcentral. Lineage: Eukaryota; Viridiplantae; Streptophyta; Magnoliopsida; Malpighiales; Euphorbiaceae.
GAAAUGAUAAAUAUCAUGGCUUGCUUUCAGUUGUAUUAAAUUAACCUUUUUAGUUAAGGAUAGAUUCUUUUUUUUUUUAAAUUACUUCAUAACAUAUAAUAUUUAAUUAAUCAAUAUAAUUAUUAUUUGUAGCAGCAGGCCAUUACAAAAUCCAAACGAGUACGUAAAUAUUGGCAAGCUUAUUUAGCGCGUACGUUGGUUGCUAGCCACGAUAACAAGAUAAAUUGAUUUCACUCAAUGAUCAUAAGAAGCAGGAGGAGGCCUUCUAAGUAGAAGAUGAAUGAAGCAUUCCAAUACUUUCACUGCACAUGUGUUGGCCAAAGCACUGUUGCUUUCACCUCCAUCAGCGUAAUUUGAAACUCCAUUGAACAAAAUAAAUGGCAGUUCGUUUGUAUGAGCUCCCAAUGCCACAGCAAUGCUCGAUGUAUCCACAACUGAGGUCUCAAAAGUUUUGUAAAGGAAGUCUCUGUAUGCUUCAUUGCUCACGUAUGUAUCUGCACUGGAGAUCCUCAGUCCAGUAAAAACAAAGUCGAUCUCAAUCUUAUCUGCAAUCUGUUGCCAUUCUGGAGUAACUUCAAUCCAAAUACUUUCUUUGAAUGUCCCAUUUACGUACACCUUUGAUUUUUCAUACAGUACACUUCCGAGCAAAUUUUCUCCUUCCUCUGGUUCAUUAAAUUCUGCGAACUUGAGCAGACCUUCCUUUGAUGCAUUGUAUGGCAGCCAUUUCCAAAGUCCUGUGGAGCCAACUGCGCUGGGUACAGCAACUUGACCGACGCUCAACAAAUCAGUAAGGGCUCCAGCACUCCCAAAAUAGAUGAUUCCAAGAAGAUUAAAUUUGGCAGCCAUGAUUUCCACUGUUAUGGCCACGUUAAUCGAUGGAUUAGCUGGACUAUUAACGAAGACAAAUUUACUUCCAUAAAUUGUUCCAAGCAAGAAUGUUCUUCCUUUGUAUGCAACAGAUGAAGUAGAAAUGAAGAUGCCAGACUCAUUAAAUGCCUGCUCAGAGGAAGUGGUAGUCACAAUGAUCGCAUAAACCGGUGGAUUUAAGUCAUUGAUCUUCUGGACAGCCCCUUGCAGAGGGUUUUUCAUGCUAAGUUGCAUGGUGGGCGAUGCCAUAGCCAGCAGCCCGAUCACUACCACUGCCAUUUCAACCGCCCACAUCAUUCGUCGUGGCCCUGCCACGGCCAUUGUUUCUCCCUGGAGAGAUAAGUGUAAGAGACAAGUGAACAAGAGAGAAAAAUAGUGAGUAAAUUAAGAACAAUGCGAU